GUGGGGAAUCUUGCGCAAUGGGCGAAAGCCUGACGCAGCCAUGCCGCGUGGAUGAUGAAGGUCUUAGGAUUGUAAAAUCCUUUCACCGGUGAAGAUAAUGACUGUAGCCGGAGAAGAAGCCCCGGCUAACUUCGUGCCAGCAGCCGCGGUAAUACGAAGGGGGCUAGCGUUGCUCGGAUUUACUGGGCGUAAAGGGCGCGUAGGCGGACAUUUAAGUCAGGGGUGAAAUCCCGGGGCUCAACCUCGGAACUGCCUUUGAUACUGGGUGUCUUGAGUGUGAGAGAGGUGAGUGGAACUCCGAGUGUAGAGGUGAAAUUCGUAGAUAUUCGGAAGAACACCAGUGGCGAAGGCGACUCACUGGCUCAUUACUGACGCUGAGGCUCGAAAGCGUGGGGAGCAAACAGGAUUAGAAACCCCGGUAGUCC
This 425-nucleotide ribosomal RNA is filed under the name uncultured bacterium. RNAcentral's name for it is "partial 16S ribosomal RNA". It matches the Rfam family "Bacterial small subunit ribosomal RNA", at positions 354 to 796 of the family's 1533-position model. The record is from RNAcentral.